CAGUCGAACGAACUCUGGUAUUGAUUGGUGCUUGCAUCAUGAUUUACAUUUGAGUGAGUGGCGAACUGGUGAGUAACACGUGGGAAACCUGCCCAGAAGCGGGGGAUAACACCUGGAAACAGAUGCUAAUACCGCAUAACAACUUGGACCGCAUGGUCCGAGUUUGAAAGAUGGCUUCGGCUAUCACUUUUGGAUGGUCCCGCGGCGUAUUAGCUAGAUGGUGAGGUAACGGCUCACCAUGGCAAUGAUACGUAGCCGACCUGAGAGGGUAAUCGGCCACAUUGGGACUGAGACACGGCCCAAACUCCUACGGGAGGCAGCAGUAGGGAAUCUUCCACAAUGGACGAAAGUCUGAUGGAGCAACGCCGCGUGAGUGAAGAAGGGUUUCGGCUCGUAAAACUCUGUUGUUAAAGAAGAACAUAUCUGAGAGUAACUGUUCAGGUAUUGACGGUAUUUAACCAGAAAGCCACGGCUAACUACGUGCCAGCAGCCGCGGUAAUACGUAGGUGGCAAGCGUUGUCCGGAUUUAUUGGGCGUAAAGCGAGCGCAGGCGGUUUUUUAAGUCUGAUGUGAAAGCCUUCGGCUCAACCGAAGAAGUGCAUCGGAAACUGGGAAACUUGAGUGCAGAAGAGGACAGUGGAACUCCAUGUGUAGCGGUGAAAUGCGUAGAUAUAUGGAAGAACACCAGUGGCGAAGGCGGCUGUCUGGUCUGUAACUGACGCUGAGGCUCGAAAGUAUGGGUAGCAAACAGGAUUAGAUACCCUGGUAGUCCAUACCGUAAACGAUGAAUGCUAAGUGUUGGAGGGUUUCCGCCCUUCAGUGCUGCAGCUAACGCAUUAAGCAUUCCGCCUGGGGAGUACGGCCGCAAGGCUGAAACUCAAAGGAAUUGACGGGGGCCCGCACAAGCGGUGGAGCAUGUGGUUUAAUUCGAAGCUACGCGAAGAACCUUACCAGGUCUUGACAUACUAUGCAAAUCUAAGAGAUUAGACGUUCCCUUCGGGGACAUGGAUACAGGUGGUGCAUGGUUGUCGUCAGCUCGUGUCGUGAGAUGUUGGGUUAAGUCCCGCAACGAGCGCAACCCUUAUUAUCAGUUGCCAGCAUUAAGUUGGGCACUCUGGUGAGACUGCCGGUGACAAACCGGAGGAAGGUGGGGAUGACGUCAAAUCAUCAUGCCCCUUAUGACCUGGGCUACACACGUGCUACAAUGGAUGGUACAACGAGUUGCGAACUCGCGAGAGUAAGCUAAUCUCUUAAAGCCAUUCUCAGUUCGGAUUGUAGGCUGCAACUCGCCUACAUGAAGUCGGAAUCGCUAGUAAUCGCGGAUCAGCAUGCCGCGGUGAAUACGUUCCCGGGCCUUGUACACACCGCCCGUGACACCAUGAGAGUUUGUAACACCCAAAGUCGGUGGGGUAACCU
This 1416-nucleotide ribosomal RNA is filed under the name Lactiplantibacillus plantarum. Its description in RNAcentral is "bacterial SSU rRNA". It matches the Rfam family "Bacterial small subunit ribosomal RNA". The record is from RNAcentral. Lineage: Bacteria; Bacillati; Bacillota; Bacilli; Lactobacillales; Lactobacillaceae.